RNAcentral lists this ribosomal RNA (119 nucleotides) under alpha proteobacterium BAL199. Lineage: Bacteria; Pseudomonadati; Pseudomonadota; Alphaproteobacteria. The record is from RNAcentral.
GACCUGGUGGCUAUAGCGAGGGAGCUACACCCGAUCCCAUCCCGAACUCGGCCGUGAAAGCCCUCAGCGCCAAUGGUACUGCGUCUUAAGGCGUGGGAGAGUAGGUCGCUGCCAGGUCU